This 503-nucleotide ribosomal RNA is filed under the name uncultured alveolate. RNAcentral's name for it is "SSU rRNA". It matches the Rfam family "Eukaryotic small subunit ribosomal RNA", at positions 58 to 570 of the family's 1831-position model. The record is from RNAcentral.
UCUAAGUAUAAAUAGUAUACAGUGAAACUGCGAAUGGCUCAUUAAAACAGUUAUAGUUUAUUUGAUAAUGGAAAGCUACAUGGAUAACCGUGGUAAUUCUAGAGCUAAUACAUGCUGUUAAACCUGACUUUUUGGAAGGGUUGUAUUUAUUAGAUAUUAAAGCCAAUAUUCCUUCGGGUCUAUUGUGGUGAAUCAUAGUAACUGAUCGAAUCUCUUCUUGAGAUAAAUCAUUCAAGUUUCUGCCCUAUCAGCUUUCGAUGGUAGUGUAUUGGACUACCAUGGCAGUCACGGGUAACGGGGAAUUAGGGUUCGGUUCCGGAGAGGGAGCCUGAGAAACGGCUACCACAUCUAAGGAAGGCAGCAGGCGCGUAAAUUACCCAAUCCUGAUUCAGGGAGGUAGUGACAAGAAAUAACAACCUGGGGGACUUUGUCCUUACGGGAUUGCAAUGAGAACAAUUUAAAUGACUUAUCGAGGAACAAUUGGAGGGCAAGUCUGGUGCCAG